GGGUUGGUAGUCUAGGGGUAUGAUACUCGCUUUGGGUGCGAGUGGUCCGGGGUUCAAUUCCCCGCCAGCCCC
Molecule: transfer RNA, 72 nt
Filed under: Hypsibius dujardini
Lineage: Eukaryota; Metazoa; Tardigrada; Eutardigrada; Parachela; Hypsibiidae
Also listed under: 1 other name
Rfam family: tRNA
About the family: Transfer RNA (tRNA) molecules are approximately 80 nucleotides in length. Their secondary structure includes four short double-helical elements and three loops (D, anti-codon, and T loops).
Source: Rfam by way of RNAcentral